AUACGAGGGGUGCAAGCGUUAAUCGGAAUUACUGGGCGUAAAGCGUUCGUAGGCGGUUUGUUAAGCAAGAUGUGAAAGCCCAGGGCUCAACCUUGGAACUGCAAUUUGAACUGGCAAACUAGAGUACUGUAGAGGGUGGUGGAAUUUCCAGUGUAGCGGUGAAAUGCGUAGAGAUUGGAAGGAACAUCAGUGGCGAAGGCGGCCACCUGGACAGAUACUGACGCUGAGGAACGAAAGCGUGGGGAGCGAACAGGAUUAGAUACCCUAGUAGUCC
Molecule: ribosomal RNA, 274 nt
Filed under: uncultured bacterium
Lineage: Bacteria
Description: partial 16S ribosomal RNA
Rfam family: Bacterial small subunit ribosomal RNA
Source: RNAcentral